CCUGACUGCUAUCGGAAUGAUACUAAGCCAUGUGAGUCAUUGUAGCAAUACAAGGCAGACGGCUCAGUAACACGUAGCCAAUCUAACCUAUGGACGGGGAUAACCUCGGGAAACUGAGGAUAAACCCCGAUAGAUCAUUAUGCCUGGAAAGGUUUAUGGUCCAAAUGAUUCGUCGCCGUAGGAUGAGACUGCGGCCUAUCAGCUUGUUGGUGAGGUAAUGGCCCACCAAGGCUAUUACAGGUACGGGCUCUGAGAGGAGAAGCCCGGAGAUGGGUACUGAGACACGGACCCAGGCCCUAUGGGGCGCAGCAGGCGAGAAACCUUUGCAAUGUGCGCAAGCACGACAAGGUUAAUCCGAGUGUUUCCUGCUAAAGGAAUCUUUUGUUAGUCCUAAAAACACUAGUGAAUAAGGGGUGGGCAAGUUCUGGUGUCAGCCGCCGCGGUAAAACCAGCACCUCAAGUGGUCAGGAGGAUUAUUGGGCCUAAAGCAUCCGUAGCUUGCUCUGUAAGUUUCCGGUUAAAUCCAUUAGCUCAACUAAUGGGCUGCCGGAAAAACUGCAAAGCUAGGAAGUGGGAGAGGUAGACGGUACUCGGUAGGAAGGGGUAAAAUCCUUUGAUCUAUUGAUGACCACCUGUGGCGAAGGCGGUCUACCAGAACACGUUCGACAGUGAGGGAUGAAAGCUGGGGGAGCAAACCGGAUUAGAUACCCGGGUAGUCCCAGCUGUAAACGAUGCAGACUCGGUGAUGCCCUGGCUUGUGGCCAGUGCAGUGCCGCAGGGAAGCCGUUAAGUUUGCCGCCUGGGAAGUACGUACGCAAGUAUGAAACUUAAAGGAAUUGGCGGGGGAGCACCACAAGGGGUGAAGCCUGCGGUUC
Molecule: ribosomal RNA, 875 nt
Filed under: uncultured archaeon
Lineage: Archaea
Description: bacterial SSU rRNA
Rfam family: Archaeal small subunit ribosomal RNA
Source: RNAcentral